GGACGCCAUCUCGACGGCCGUGAACAGUCUCCUGCCGCUGUAAGACUGUUGUGACAGCCGUGUAACUGGCAAGUCUCACCUCUACCACGGCUGGUGAGAGGACAGAGCAGGUCUCACCAGGCCUUGGGUACAAUGUCGACCUGGUAACAUGGGAAUUACAGUGUUCCACUUGCCCAUCCACAGCAGGGAUGCUCACUGAGUUCCCUCACAACCACACAGUAGCUUUGAAGUACAUGGAUCCUGGGAUUCCAGCUCUUCCGUGUCUCAAGGAAAUUGCAGGUUGGAAUUUAAGAGUGAAAAUUCUGGGAAGGGGUGUUGGGAUGCCUUUCCCCUUGGGCCAUCUGCAUGCCCCCUUUUGAAUGUCUGACCCAGCUUCUGACAAGGAGGGGCCACCUUCCCUGCUGUCUGGCACAGAGGUUUUCCUCUGCAGCAAGAAGAUUAUCAAUGAGUCAUUUCCUUCCUUUCUUAAACUUCCUGGACAUUUUCUUGUUUAUUUUAGCUUUCCACAGAGGACUCUAACAGGAGCUUAUGUGGGGUUUCCUCUGUGCUCAUUAGUUUGUGAAACUAUUUCAAUUCAAAGUAUGUUAUCUUGAAUGUUCAUGCUCUAAUUAUUCUUUUUAUGUAUUUUGCUUCAAAAUGAGUUUCCUUAGUUUUGUUUCCAGAACUGUAUACAAUUUGUUUAUGUUUUGAUAUUUUGUGGUAAGUAUCAACAUAAAUUAAUUUCAUAGAAAAUAAUGCAUUUAUUUCUUAAGUAUUAAAAAUAAAACAUUAAAGGGUUUCUUUAAAAUAUCUGUACACUGAAUCAAAUUCCUUUCCUAAACCAUACCUGUGGUGUCUCUAGACUGCAUGUCACCAGAUCAUUCUGGAAGGGCAAGAGAAGACCGGGCUGGGGGGCAGGGUUCUCUCCUAUGCUGGUUCUUUUGACUUUGAAAUUUACCAAAACUCUUGCUUUUGUGAUCCCAAGCAGUUUCUUAAGCUUUUUCUACUUUCAACCCUUUUUGCCUGAAAAAUAUUUAAUGUGACUUUGGGUAUACAUAAGAUAUAUAAACUAGGCGCUUAAACCACACAUUUACUGACAAUAAAACAGAAAAAAAAAUUUUAAAAUAAUUCUUUGAAAAAACAAAACAUAAAUACCAAAAAAUCUUUGGCAUAAGCAACCAUUUUAACCAAAUAAUGCAAAUUUGCAUACCAAUGAGAUUAAUGUAGUUGUUUAUUUCUAUAUAAGAAUUAAAUCUUGGCUGAAUUUUUGAUACCACAGGACACAGAGCAUCCAUCUUCAAUAUUUUUCAGAAUUGAUCAAUAUUCUGAUUUUAUAAUCAGCAAAGCUGAGAAUGCUAGAGUUUUUUGCAUAUCUAAAAAAUAAAAUGACAGAAGUAUGUUUGGGACCAUUUCAGAAUUGCUGGAAAUCCUGUUAUAAUUACAGGUCAAAUUUGUUUAAUUGUUUUAUGAAUCUCAAGUCAGCAAUUCAAACAGUGACUUUUAAAAAAUCAAACAUUCCAAGCAAUCCACAGAUCUACUGAAUUGUUUACUUAUCUGUUGAGAAAUAUUGGUAGAAAAAUAGUCAAGGUGGGUUUUUUUUUCUGUAAUUAAACUAUUGUUUCUGUAAGAACAGAAACAUUUGUAGGUCCAGUGAGAACACUAUUAUUUAUAACAUACAAUAUUUGCAAGUCUGAGCUGAGGUUUGGUGACAUCAUGAGCUUUCAUACAGGGGAGCGCUGUCAGGAACACGUUAGAUUCAUCGUGGAUUUUAUUUUGAAUUACUUUUUGGCUUUUGUGCAUUCAAAAAAUUUUAUUGUUGCCAGUUUCUUUUGUGACCCCCAUAUGUGGCUGUGACGUUGGGCUUUAAAGUGCCUGGUUAUUGCUGCUGAGUCCACUGUAAGUAUGUUUGGGCACCAUCAUGACCCUGAUCCCCCAGAGCUUAAAGUAAUGUUACUUUUCAGAAUGAUUAUACGUAUAAAAUAUUUGAUCUUGUAUGCUUUUUCACAGUCUCUUUGUCGAAUGUACUGGUAGAAAAAUAUUUGCUUAGGUGUGAUUUAUCUAGUGUUUCCUCUAACUCCUGUGAGUGGGGAAAAUACUGGAAAAUCAGGAGGAGCAUCCAGUUGAUUCUGGUCUGUUGGGAGCACAACACUAACGUCCCUGUGCCCACAGAUCUUCAGAGAAACCAGGAAUGUUAAGCACACGGGAUUGUCUUUCCAAUGGGAAAGACGAAAAACCUGUUCUUCCAUCAAGAAAGCUGAAAAUUGGAAAUGAUUAACUGCCUGGUGAUCUGUGUUAUCUGUUGGGCCAGGCCAUAUCAAGCUCCCACAACCAGGACCAGAGGUGGCUAGUAAUCUAAAUGACCCUUAUAGACAGAGGUGCUCCCAAGCUCCCACAACCAGGAUCAGAGGUGGCUAACAGCCCAAGUGACCUCUACAUAUCUGUAUGACAGAGACCAGAGCAGACCUUUAGGCCCUUAAGCUAGUACAGGUAGCCUAUCUCUAGAACUCAUCUUCUUGGAAGAAAUGGCAUGUACCGAGUUGAGUUUCAGUGUAAUUACGCUUCCUUGUGCAGUGGGGAUCUUAUUACACCAGGAAACAUUUUUUUUUAAUUGUACUGAACUUAAAUACAUUGGGAAUAAACCUCCUCUCAUUAGACCCCCUGAAGUCUGAUCCAGGCUGACAAAGUCAACCUGCAGGAGGUUUUCAGUCUUCUCUCUUCAUGGGGGUUCAAUUUCUUGUAUGACACCUGCAGGGACCCCCUCACUGGUCAGUUUUUUUUUUUUUUAAAAAAAACUAACUUCACAGUUUUUUUCCUUCAUAGUCAUUUUACCCACUUCCUAUUCUUUGUUUUACUUUUUUCUAUUCUCCAAAUGAUUGUGAAUAGUUAAUUAUCUAAUUGACUUAUACAGUUAAAUUUUAUUUUGAAAAUAACAAAUACAGUUGUUUCUACAGGUCCAAUAAAUUCAAAGAGGCUUGUAGGCUGGGUGGUGAUGGCACACGCCUUUAAUCCCAGCACUCGGGAGGCAGAGCCAGGUGGAUCUCUCUGAGUUCAAAGUCAGCCUGGUCUACAGUGGGAUCCAGGACAGGCACCAGAACUACACAGAGAAACUCUGUCUCGAAAAAACAAAUAAAAAAUAAAAAAGAGGGUUGUAGACCACUGCUUGACAUCAAGAUGAGAAGGAAAUGAGUUCUCAGCCCCUGCUAGGAUCUCCCAUCUCUGAUUUUCUGUUCUCUACUCUUUCACACUGUCUGUUCUCACAAAGACAUGUGAAGACCCCAGCGUGCUAUCCAGUGUGAGAGCAGGUCCUGCAUCACGGCCUCUGUCUCUAAUCUGUAUCACUGGUGAUAUCAAAGUCAAAACUAGGGAAAAUAGAUCCUUGAUGAUACCAAUUUCCAUAAGUCUUUCACCCACCGCAAACUUACAAUGUUGCUGCCUUAAAAAUACAAUGUUGCUGCCAUGCCUUCCACUGUCUUUUUGUCUCUAAAUAUAAACAGAGAUCACACACAUUUAAAUCAGUUUUGCCACCAGUAUUGUGGGAUGAGUCACUUUUUUCUUUUGUUGACUUAGGAUUUUGGAUGGAAGAGUUUCAGUGGAGGGUUUCUGAACAUAAUAACAAUAUAAGAAUAAUCAUACCAAUAAUUACAAUUUUCUCUUUCCUUAUCUCUUUAUCUUCCAUGGGGGAAGAGAAUGAAUGGCAAAUGACUAGUAGAAACUUUCUGAAUACCAAAUACUUGAACAAUGAAAAGAUUUAGAAAAGUACUCAAGGUUUUUCCUGUACAUGGCAAGAGCAUACCAACUCAACACACAUUUAAUUUUAUUUUUCCUCCCCCAAAGAAAUAUAGAUAUUUAGAAAUCCAGAAUGAAACAUUCAUGUGCUCUAAAAUUUAUAUUAUGUAUCUAUGCACAUGGAUUAUAUGCCUUGCAUAUAAUGUUGCUAUGCAUAUGUCUCUACAAAUACUCCUGGAGAAACCAUGAAGCAUUUAGUGUGAUAGUUUGCAGAGGCCCUUGCUUUCCCAGUUCCCUGAGGGACUUGCUAACAUCACAAGUUUCAUAAACUUAGCAAAUUGUGUCUACAUAACAUAAAUAUUCUUUACAAUGAAUGUAACUGACCUUCUGUGACAUGUGGACAUUGUAUUGUUACUAUGUACCAAGGCUAGUAUUGAAAACAGUAUAGUCUUUAAAAUGUCAGCAUCAUAUUUUAUAUUGUAAAUGUGUGAUGUAUUUUAAUUUUAAUUACUGGAGAAUGUCAUCAUUACUGGACAUGUCAUAUAGCAAAUCAAGCAAUCAUUAAAGUUUUUUUUCUCUAAUGAA
Peromyscus californicus insignis is the source of this 4290-nucleotide long non-coding RNA. RefSeq lists it as uncharacterized. Lineage: Eukaryota; Metazoa; Chordata; Mammalia; Rodentia; Cricetidae. The transcript is spliced from 2 exons. The record is from RefSeq and is a predicted model, not a curated record.